Eriocheir sinensis (Chinese mitten crab) is the source of this 4175-nucleotide long non-coding RNA. RefSeq lists it as uncharacterized. The record is from RefSeq and is a predicted model, not a curated record. NCBI's taxonomy places the organism in Eukaryota, Metazoa, Arthropoda, Malacostraca, Decapoda, Varunidae. The transcript has 7 exons.
UUUUUAUGUUAGUGUUGUUGUUGUUGUUGCUGUUGUUGUCACGUCUUUGGCAUAUCACACAGGCAGGUUUUAAUGUUCCAGCACCUUUUUCAAGCGUUCUUUCAUUUUCACCCACACAGUUUUGUAUUUUAUUUUUGGGGGAGUAUUCUUUUCACAUCAUUUUCAUCCACUUAAUUUUGCAGUCAGUUAACUUGUCCUGCAUAAUUUUCUGCAGUCAGUUAACUUGUCCUGCAUAAUUUUCUCCAGUCAGUUAACUUUUCCUGCAUAAUUUUCUCCAGUCAGUUAACUUUUCCUGCAUAAUUUUCUCCAGUCAGUUAACUUUUCCUGCAUAAUUUUCUCCAGUCAGUUAACUUUUCCUGCAUAAUUUCCUGCAGUCAGUUAACUUUUCCUGCAUAAUUUUCUCCAGUCAGUUAACUUUUCCUGCAUAAUUUCCUGCAGUCAGUUAACUUUUCCUGCAUAAUUUUCUCCAGUCAGUUAACUUUUCCUGCAUAAUUUCCUGCAGUCAGUUAACUUUUCCUGCAUAAUUUUCUUAGUUUUUUCAAAUUUCGACAUUGUUGUUUUUUGUGGUGUUAAUGUCACAUCUUUGGCAUUUCAGACAGGCAGGUUGAUGAUGACAAAAAUAAAUCCAGGUGACAGAAGGAAGGAAGGGAAGUCGGUAAUCACAGGUAGAGGGCCAGGUGUGAAGGUCGUUAGCAGGGGAGUCAUAAAUAAACAGGGUCAGGGUGAAGGAAGGUCGGUAAGCAAAGGUAGAGGGCCAGGUGUGAAGGUCGUUAGCAGGGGGUCAUAAAUAAACAGGGUCAGGGUGAAGGAAGGUCGGUAAUCAAAGGUAGAGGGCCAGGUGUGAAGGUCGUUAGCAGGGGGUCAUAAAUAAACAGGGUCAGGGUGAAGGAAGGUCGGUAAUCAAAGGUAGAGGGCCAGGUGUGAAGGUCGUUAGCAGGGGGUCAUAAAUAAACAGGGUCAGGGUGAAGGAAGGUCGGUAAUCACAGGUAGAGGGCCAGGUGUGAAGGUCGUUAGCAGGGGGUCAUAAAUAAACAGGGUCAGGGUGAAGGAAGGUCGGUAAUCAAAGGUAGAGGGCCAGGUGUGGAGGUCGUUAGCAGGGGAGUCAUAAAUAAACAGGGUCAGCGUGAAGGAAGGUCGGUAAUCACAGGUAGAGGGCCAGGUGUGAAGGUCGUUAGCAGGGGGUCAUAAAUAAACAGGGUCAGGGUGAAGGAAGGUCGGUAAGCAAAGGUAGAGGGCCAGGUGUGAAGGUUGUUAGCAGGGGGUCAUAAAUAAACAGGGUCUGGGUGAAGGAAGGUCGGUAAUCAAAGGUAGAGGGCCAGGUGUGAAGGUCAUUAGCAGGGGGUCAUAAAUAAACAGGGUCAGGGUGAAGGAAGGUCGGUAAGCAAAGGUAGAGGGCCAGGUGUGAAGGUUGUUAGCAGGGGGUCAUAAACAAACAGGGUCAGAGUGAAGGAAGGUCGGUAAUCACAGGUACAGGGCCAGGUGUGAAGGUCGUUAGCAGGGGGUCAUAAAUAAACAGGCUCAGGGUGAAGGAAGGUCGGUAAGCAAAGGUAGAGGGCCAGGUGUGAAGGUUGUUAGCAGGGGGUCAUAAACAAACAGGGUCAGAGUGAAGGAAGGUCGGUAAUCACAGGUACAGGGCCAGGUGUGAAGGUCGUUAGCAGGGGGUCAUAAAUAAACAGGGUCAGGGUGAAGGAAGGUCGGUAAUCACAGGUAGAGGGCCAGGUGUGGAGGUCGUUAGCAGGGGUCAUAAAUAAACAGGGUCAGGGUGAAGGAAGGUCGGUAAGCAAAGGUAGAGGGCCAGGUGUGAAGGUUGUUAGCAGGGGGUCAUAAAUAAACAGGGUCAGGGUGAAGGAAGGUCGGUAAGCAAAGGUACAGGGCCAGGUGUGGAGGUCGUUAGCAGGGGUCAUAAAUAAACAGGGUCAGGGUGAAGGAAGGUCGGUAAUCACAGGUACAGGGCCAGGUGUGAAGGUCGUUAGCAGGGGAGUCAUAAAUAAACAGGGUCAGGGUGAAGGAAGGUCGGUAAGCAAAGGUAGAGGGCCAGGUGUGAAGGUCGUUAGCAGGGGUCAUAAAUAAACAGGGUCAGGGUGAAGGAAGGUCGGUAAGCAAAGGUAGAGGGCCAGGUGUGAAGGUCGUUAGCAGGGGAGUCAUAUAUAAACAGGAUGAUGGAAGGAAAGGAAGUUAGUGAUCACAGGUAAAGGAACAGGUGUGGAUAUUGUUAGCGAGGAAAUCAUACAAACAAGCAGAGGCAAGGAAGACUCAAUAAAGCAAAAAUCAUGCCCUAGACUUUAAUGCAAAAAAAUAUGAGAGAAAAAACAAAAAUUGGUGUACAUGCUUCUGUAGGCAUGUGUGUGUAUAUGUAAGCGUGUGCGUGUGUGUGUGUGUGUGUGUGUGUGUGUGUGCGCAGGCAUAUACACACACACACACACACACACCAACUGAAACUAUAAGAUGCACAUUAUUAGAACAAAAAAAUGGGUGGGAAAAAAAUAAAUAAUGCAGAAAUUAACAAAAAGAAAUUAACCGAAAGUAGUUUUAAGCAUUAGAAAAAAAAAAAAAUUACUAUAAAUAAAAUGCCACUGGCUUGAGCUAACUUACAUAUAUAUACAAGGAGAGAGAGAGAGAGAGAGAGAGAGAGAGAGAGAGAGAGAGAGAGAGAGAGAGAGAGAGAGAGAGAGAGAGAGAGAGAGAGACCAAGACAGAGAGAGCACACAAACAAAUAACCAAAAAAUACAUAUCAAAUACCAUUACAAAUAACAUGAAAGACUUAAACCAUACCAAUAAUAAUAAUAAUAAUAAUAAUAAUAAUAAUGCCUAGAAAUAAUAAGUUGAGGUGGCGAUGAAUGAAUGAAACAGAAAACAAAAACAAAAAAAAAUCAAAUAAUGGGAGUGGAGUUCAGAGUAGUAAUCAAGCCCAACAGGUAGACAGGUAGAGGUACAGGUAGGGUGGAGGUGGUGGUGGUGGUGGUACAGGUGCGUUGCUUUAGGAUCACCAGGUAGACUAAUUAACUUACGAGUACUGACUAAAAAUGAGAUCACAGUAACCUUGAAUUGUGGCAGUUGAAAUGUGUGUGGCAGAUGGUGGUGGUGGUUGUGGUAGUAGUAGUAGUAGUAGUAGUAGUAGUAGUAGUAUGAAUGGGAGGGCGAGUUAGUAGUAGCAGUAGUAGUAGUAAUGGAAGAGAAGAAAGUAGAAUGAAAAGUAGAUGAAAAAAAAGAGAAGUAAAGAAGAUUAAGUAGUAGUAGUAGUAGUAGUAGUAGUAUAAAUGGGAGGGCGAGUUAGUAGAAGUAGUAGAAAUAGUAGUUAGAAAUGUAUGUAGUAGUAGAAGAAAGCAGAAUGAAAAGUAGAUGAAAAAGAGAUAAGUAGAAAAGAUUAAGUAGUAGUAGUAGUAGUAGUAAGACAAGAAAGUAGAAUUAAAAGUAGGAGAAAAAGAAAAUUAAGUAGGAAAUAUUAGGUUUAGCAGUAGUAGUAGUAGUAGUAGUAGUAGUAGUUAUAUGGUUGCAUGACUGUGAUAGUGGUAUACAAUUACAAUUAUACAUACAAAAAAAAACGAGAGAAAAAGAAAAACGGAAGAAGAGUAAAAUUUGGUGGCGGCUGAGUUGGUGGUUGGUGGCUGUUGCGUCAUAUAGCUAUGGAUGAAAAUGUAUGUAUGUAUAUAUGUUAUGCAUUAUACUGCACUACACUUGUUAUAUAUAAAUGAAUGAUCGAUAUACUCCGCUCUCCCUUAGACUAUGACAGCGAGGGUAAGAUUAAUAGACAGACAGACAGACAUGUGGCUUAUAGGAAUCUUAUCUCGUGCCCCUACACACACAUAUGCACACACACACACAAACUUAGGCGUAUAUCUGUACAUCAUAUAUACGAAAUAAUGUGAAGUUCAUGGCAGUAAUGAUAAUGAUAGUAGUAAUAAUAAGUAAUGACCGAUCAUACACACACACACACACACACACACACACACAUUGAUGGCAGUGGUGAUGGUAUAUAUAUUUCACGGCCAUUUUAAAUUCCACCCAAAAAAAACAGACCCAUAAUAUCUGAUCGAGAUAAAACACAAGCGAAAGGAAAAUCGUUUUGUGUAAUUCGGAGGUGAAGGGAAAAAUAUUAUUCCGAUGCGUUUUUUUUUUAACUAUGCGUUUGAGCAAGGGUGUGUGUGUUCGUGUGUGUGUGUGUGUGUGUGUGUGUG